This 279-nucleotide ribosomal RNA is filed under the name uncultured bacterium. Its description in RNAcentral is "partial 16S ribosomal RNA". It matches the Rfam family "Bacterial small subunit ribosomal RNA", at positions 506 to 784 of the family's 1533-position model. The record is from RNAcentral.
UGCCAGCAGCCGCGGUAAUACGGAGGGGGUUAGCGUUGUUCGGAAUUACUGGGCGUAAAGCGUACGUAGGCGGAUUAGUAAGUUAGGGGUGAAAUCCCGAGGCUCAACCUCGGAACUGCCUCUAAAACUGCUAGUCUUGAGUUCGAGAGAGGUGAGUGGAAUUCCGAGUGUAGAGGUGAAAUUCGUAGAUAUUCGGAGGAACACCAGUGGCGAAGGCGGCUCACUGGCUCGGAUCUGACGCUGAGGCGCGAAAGCGUGGGUAGCGAACGGGAUUAGAUA